Molecule: ribosomal RNA, 774 nt
Filed under: uncultured Neocallimastigales
Lineage: Eukaryota; Fungi; Neocallimastigomycota; Neocallimastigomycetes; Neocallimastigales
Description: partial large subunit ribosomal RNA
Rfam family: Eukaryotic large subunit ribosomal RNA
Source: RNAcentral
AUGUGAUCGUCUCUCGCAUAUCAAUAAGCGGAGGAAAAGAAACUAACAAGGAUUCCCCUAGUAACGGCGAGUGAAGCGGGAAGAGCUCAAAUUUGAAAUCUUAAAGGGUUUCCCUUUACGAAUUGUAGUUUAAAGAAGUGUUUUCUGUUGAGGUUUUGGUAAAAGUUCUUUGGAAUAGGACAUCAUAGAGGGUGAGAAUCCCGUAUUUGACCUUUACUUUCAACUUUGUGAUACACUUUCAAAGAGUCGGAUUGUUUGGGAGUGCAGUCCAAAAUGGGUGGUAAAUUUCAUCUAAAGCUAAAUAUUGGCGAGAGACCGAUAGCGAACAAGUACCGUGAGGGAAAGAUGAAAAGAACUUUGAAAAGAGAGUUAAACAGUACGUGAAAUUGUCAAAAGGGAAGCGUUUGACACCAGUGUUGUUUUUCUGGAAAAUCAAUUAAAGAACUGUUUAUGCUAAGCUGUUUAGACUUUAUCAGCUAACUGUUUAGUUUUGAGCUUUUCUUUAAUGCACUUUUCAGUUAACAAGUCAACAUCAAUUUCUUUUGCUGUAAAAAAGCUUGAGGAAGGUGGCUUGAGAUUCGUCUUAAGUGUUUAUAGCCUCUUGCCUAUGCAGUCGGAGAGAUUGAGGUCUGCAGCGUAGAUCCUUCGGGGCUAAAUGCAUUUGUGCUAAGUUAUAGCAUUUUAUAGACAACUUGUUGACUAUGAUUUGUCUUGUAGCUUACUCGCUUAUGUUAUUUUACCUACGCUUAGGAUGUUGAGUAGCGACAUACGCAC